GAUCUGGUUCAGGACGAACGCUGGCGGCGUGCCUAACACAUGCAAGUCGAACGGAGUUAAACGCUGAAUUGAAGAUAGCUUGCUAUUGGAUUUCUUGUUAACUUAGUGGCGGACGGGUGAGUAACGCGUGAGCAACCUGCCUUUCAGAGGGGGAUAACGGCUGGAAACGGUCGCUAAUACCGCAUAACGUAUAUUUAAGGCAUCUUAGAUAUACCAAAGCUGAGGCGCUGAAAGAUGGGCUCGCGUCCGAUUAGAUAGUUGGUGAGGUAACGGCUCACCAAGUCGACGAUCGGUAGCCGGACUGAGAGGUUGAACGGCCACAUUGGGACUGAGACACGGCCCAGACUCCUACGGGAGGCAGCAGUGGGGGAUAUUGCACAAUGGGCGCAAGCCUGAUGCAAGCAACGCCGCGUGAAUGAAGACGGUCUUCGGAUUGUAAAGUUCUGUUCUUAGUGAAGAUAAUGACGGUAACUAAGGAGCAAGCCACGGCUAACUACGUGCCAGCAGCCGC
RNAcentral lists this ribosomal RNA (511 nucleotides) under uncultured bacterium. Its description in RNAcentral is "bacterial SSU rRNA". It matches the Rfam family "Bacterial small subunit ribosomal RNA", at positions 15 to 518 of the family's 1533-position model. The record is from RNAcentral.